Molecule: ribosomal RNA, 468 nt
Filed under: uncultured bacterium
Lineage: Bacteria
Description: partial 16S ribosomal RNA
Rfam family: Bacterial small subunit ribosomal RNA
Source: RNAcentral
GACGAACGCUGGCGGCGUGCUUAACACAUGCAAGUCGAACGGAAAGGCCCUGCUUUUGUGGGGUGCUCGAGUGGCGAACGGGUGAGUAACACGUGAGUAACCUGCCCUUGACUUUGGUAUAACUUCAGGAAACUGGGGCUAAUACCGGAUAGGAGCUCCUGCUGCAUGGUGGGGGUUGGAAAGUUUCGGCGGUUGGGGAUGGACUCGCGGCUUAUCAGCUUGUUGGUGGGGUAGUGGCUUACCAAGGCUUUGACGGGUAGCCGGCCUGAGAGGGUGACCGGCCACAUUGGGACUGAGAUACGGCCCAGACUCCUACGGGAGGAAGCAGUGGGGAAUAUUGCACAAUGGGGGGAACCCUGAUGCAGCAACGCCGCGUGGGGGAGGACGGCCUUCGGGUUGUAAACCGUUUUCGCCUGUGACGAAGCGUGUGUGACGGUAAUGGGUAAAGAAGCACCGGCUAACUACGUG